RNAcentral lists this transfer RNA (84 nucleotides) under Echinostoma caproni. It matches the Rfam family "tRNA". Rfam says of the family: Transfer RNA (tRNA) molecules are approximately 80 nucleotides in length. Their secondary structure includes four short double-helical elements and three loops (D, anti-codon, and T loops). Further hydrogen bonds mediate the characteristic L-shaped molecular structure. tRNAs have two regions of fundamental functional importance: the anti-codon, which is responsible for specific mRNA codon recognition, and the 3' end, to which the tRNAs corresponding amino acid is attached (by aminoacyl-tRNA synthetases). tRNAs cope with the degeneracy of the genetic code in two manners: having more than one tRNA (with a specific anti-codon) for a particular amino acid; and 'wobble' base-pairing, i.e. permitting non-standard base-pairing at the 3rd anti-codon position. Lineage: Eukaryota; Metazoa; Platyhelminthes; Trematoda; Plagiorchiida; Echinostomatidae. The record is from Rfam by way of RNAcentral.
GGCCUCGUAGCUCAGCUGGUAGAUCGUGCGUUGUACAGAAGCGUAGGAGACGUUGAUGCGUGGGUUUGAAUCCCACCGAGACUA